GAUAAGUCGGGUCCGGCUCGCUCGUUAGCAGGAGGGGUGCGGUGGUUAGUGGGACUUACUGGUCGUAAGGCGUGCGGAGGUGUUGCGUUAAGUCUGUCGUGAAAGCCCCGGGCUCAACCGGGGAAUGGCGAUGGAUACUGGCGGGCUAGAGUGCGGUAGAGGAGAGGGGAAUUCCCGGGGUAGCAGUGAAAUGCGUAGAGAUCGGGAGGAACAUCAGUUGCGAAGGCGGCUCUCUGGACCAGCACUGACACUGAGGCACGAAAGCGUGGGGAGCAAACAGGAUUAGAUACCCGAGUAGUC
Molecule: ribosomal RNA, 300 nt
Filed under: uncultured Ignisphaera sp.
Lineage: Archaea; Thermoproteati; Thermoproteota; Thermoprotei; Desulfurococcales; Desulfurococcaceae
Description: bacterial SSU rRNA
Rfam family: Bacterial small subunit ribosomal RNA (bases 52-300)
Source: RNAcentral